GUUUAAAUAUGCUGCAAGAAGGAUGUGAUAGUCAGACCUCAGGAGAAUCCUUUCAAAAUCUUCUUGAGCAGAUAGAGAACAUUACAGCUCAAAUGCUUUCUGUGACUACAGUGACCAGCAUUUUCACUUUGGCCUUCAACGCUUCAGAGAAGAUUUUAGAGACAUCAUCAUCAGCCAACACAACUGAACUAGCCUCCUAUGGAAACCACAUGUUAAAAGCCAGCGAGAAACUCAUAUCUACAUUGGUGAAGCCAACAGACAAAAGUGACAAUGACAAUUUUA
Molecule: long non-coding RNA, 282 nt
Organism: Ctenopharyngodon idella (grass carp)
Lineage: Eukaryota; Metazoa; Chordata; Actinopteri; Cypriniformes; Xenocyprididae
Exons: 3
Source: RefSeq, a predicted model, not a curated record